This 422-nucleotide RNase P RNA is filed under the name Thioploca ingrica. RNAcentral describes it as "Bacterial RNase P class A". It matches the Rfam family "Bacterial RNase P class A". Rfam says of the family: Ribonuclease P (RNase P) is a ubiquitous endoribonuclease, found in archaea, bacteria and eukarya as well as chloroplasts and mitochondria. Its best characterised activity is the generation of mature 5'-ends of tRNAs by cleaving the 5'-leader elements of precursor-tRNAs. Cellular RNase Ps are ribonucleoproteins. The record is from Rfam by way of RNAcentral. Lineage: Bacteria; Pseudomonadati; Pseudomonadota; Gammaproteobacteria; Thiotrichales; Thiotrichaceae.
GUAGUUGGUUAAGCAGUCGCUGUAUUCGCUUAAAAUACAGAGGAAAGUCCGGGCUUCACAGGACAGGGUGCCAGGUAACACCUGGGAGACGUAAGCCUACGGAAAGUGCCACAGAAAAUAUACCGCCAGUUGCAGUUAUCCGGUUUGAAUCAUUGAUAACGGCUAACUGCAAAAGGUAAGGGUGAAAAGGUGUCGGUAAGAGCGCACCGCAUUGAUGGUAACAUCAAUGGCAAGGUAAACCCCACCUGAAGCAAGACCAAAUAGGGGAAUAGUAGCCGCCGCUAAAGCGACUACCGAUGUGGUCCGCAUUAUUCCCGGGUAGGUUGCUAGAGGUAUUUGGUGACAAAUAUCCCAGAUGAAUGACUGCUACAUUGCUUACUAGAAGUGAUGAACAGAACCCGGCUUAUCGAUCAACUACCUUU